Molecule: ribosomal RNA, 425 nt
Filed under: uncultured bacterium
Lineage: Bacteria
Description: partial 16S ribosomal RNA
Rfam family: Bacterial small subunit ribosomal RNA
Source: RNAcentral
GUGGGGAAUCUUGCGCAAUGGGCGAAAGCCUGACGCAGCCAUGCCGCGUGAAUGAUGAAGGUCUUAGGAUUGUGAAAUUCUUUCACCGGGGACGAUAAUGACGGAACCCGGAGAAGAAGCUCCGGCUAACUUCGUGCCAGCAGCCGCGGUAAUACGAAGGGGGCUAGCGUUGCUCGGAAUUACUGGGCGUAAAGGGCGCGUAGGCGGACAGCUUAGUCAGAGGUGAAAGCCCAGGGCUCAACCUUGGAAUUGCCUUUGAUACUGGCUGUCUUGAGUUUGGGAGAGGUGAGUGGAACUCCGAGUGUAGAGGUGAAAUUCGUAGAUAUUCGGAAGAACACCAGUGGCGAAGGCGACUCACUGGCCCAAUACUGACGCUGAGGCGCGAAAGCGUGGGGAGCAAACAGGAUUAGAAACCCUGGUAGUCC